Molecule: long non-coding RNA, 1109 nt
Organism: Austrofundulus limnaeus
Lineage: Eukaryota; Metazoa; Chordata; Actinopteri; Cyprinodontiformes; Rivulidae
Exons: 3
Source: RefSeq, a predicted model, not a curated record
CACACACACACACACACACACACACACACACACACACACUCACAAACUUAUCUACUGCCACUGGUCUGUCCCCUUUCGAAGCCUCUUUAGGUUAUAACCCUACUUUGUUCCCUGAGGUUGAAAGUGAGUGUGCUGUCACCUCUGUUCAGCAUCUUAUGCGCAGGUGUAAACAUCUCUGGAAGCAGACCAAGGCAGCCCUGUUGAGAAUAGCUGAACAGAACAAGAGAGUGGCUGACCGACAUCGUUCCCCAAGUUAUAAGGUUGGUCAAAAGGUCUGGCUCUCUACAAAAGACAUCCAACUGAAGGACACACUGGGAAAGCUGGCUCCUCAGUUUAUUGGACCUUUUCCAGUGGAACGCAUAGUCAGCCCCUCAGCGGUACAUCUCGCACUUCCUGCCUCUGUGUGCAUUUACCCAACGUUCCAUGUUUCUUAGAUUAAACCUGUAUCUGAGAGUCCUUUGAGCCCACCCACCAACCUCUCUCCACCAACCCGGAUCAUCGACAAUCAGCCUGCAUACACUAUUAAUCGUAUCCUGGAUGUCCGAAGACGUUGGGGGUCUACAGUAUAAUAUUUGGUGGACUGGGAGGGUUACGGCCCUGAGGAAUGCUCUUGGGUCCCUAGAGCUUCCAUACUCGACUUUUCCUUAAUUUCUGCCUUCUACAGGUCCCAUCCAGAAAAGCGAGUCAGAUUGCCUGGAGGUGAUUGUAGAGGGAGGGUAACUGUGAUGAUCAUGGCCUUCCUCUUGUCUUCCUGUUGCUGAUCACCUCACCUGUUGGCAGUUUCCACUAACGAGCUCCUGGGCUUUAUAAGAUCCACCUAGACUCUUGGUCUUCGCUGAUGCAUCACACCAUUUUGGUACGUCCACCAGGAUGUCUUCCACGCACCAGGAUUGCUCAGUUUGGACUAAUCCCCACAAGGACCUGCAACAAAGGAUUUUGCUGGUUAAAGUUUUUGAGUUGGCCACUCUGCCUGAAGUUUUUGUCUCUCACCUUUGGAUCAAGUUCCCUCCUGGACCGACUUCACCGCCUCCAACCUGAUUGAUGACCCAAAACCUCACUGCACCUGUAAAUAUAAUCACUUACUGUACCUUUUAUUGCUUGUGUCCUGC